This 482-nucleotide ribosomal RNA is filed under the name uncultured bacterium. Its description in RNAcentral is "partial 16S ribosomal RNA". It matches the Rfam family "Bacterial small subunit ribosomal RNA", at positions 30 to 507 of the family's 1533-position model. The record is from RNAcentral.
AUUGAACGCUGGCGGCAUGCUUUACACAUGCAAGUCGAACGGUAACAGGCCGCAAGGUGCUGACGAGUGGCGAACGGGUGAGUAAUGCAUCGGAACGUGCCCAGUCGUGGGGGAUAACUACUCGCAAGAGUAGCUAAUACCGCAUACGAUCUAUGGUUGAAAGCGGGGGACCGUAAGGCCUCGCGCGAUUGGAGCUGCCGAUUUCAGAUUAGGUAGUUGGUGGGGUAAAGGCUCACCAAGCCAACGAUCUGUAGCUGGUCUGAGAGGACGACCAGCCACACUGGAACUGAGACACGGCCCAGACUCCUACGGGAGGCAGCAGUGGGGAAUUUUGGACAAUGGGCGCAAGCCUGAUCCAGCAAUGCCGCGUGCAGGAAGAAGGCCUUCGGGUUGUAAACUGCUUUUGUACGGAAAGAAACGGCUCUGGUUAAUACCCGGGGCUAAUGACGGUACCGUAAGAAUAAGCACCGGCUAACUACGUG